GACGAACGCUGGCGGCGUGCUUAACACAUGCAAGUCGAACGGUGAAGCUCCAGCUUGCUGGAGUGGAUCAGUGGCGAACGGGUGAGUAACACGUGAGCAACCUGCCCCUGACUCUGGAAUAAGCGCUGGAAACGGCGUCUAAUACUGGAUACGAGAAGGGCCCGCAUGGGCACUUUCUGGAAAGUUUUUCGGUUGGGGAUGGGCUCGCGGCCUAUCAGCUUGUUGGUGAGGUAAUGGCUCACCAAUGCGACGACGGGUAGCCGGCCUGAGAGGGCGACCGGCCACACUGGGACUGAGACACGGCCCAGACUCCUACGGGAGGCAGCAGUGGGGAAUAUUGCACAAUGGGCGAAAGCCUGAUGCAGCGACGCCGCGUGAGGGAUGACGGCCUUCGGGUUGUAAACCUCUUUCAGCAGGGAAGAAGCGAAAGUGACGGUACCUGCAGAAGAAGCACCGGCUAACUACGUG
This 468-nucleotide ribosomal RNA is filed under the name uncultured bacterium. Its description in RNAcentral is "partial 16S ribosomal RNA". It matches the Rfam family "Bacterial small subunit ribosomal RNA", at positions 28 to 507 of the family's 1533-position model. The record is from RNAcentral.